Molecule: long non-coding RNA, 1464 nt
Organism: Crocodylus porosus (Australian saltwater crocodile)
Lineage: Eukaryota; Metazoa; Chordata; Crocodylia; Crocodylidae
Source: Ensembl
CUGGAUGACCUCUCAAGGUCCCCUCCAGCUUUAUUUUCUAUGAUUUAUUAAGAUAGGAGCUUGCCAAAGCCUUGAGCUUUUCUCUACAUGGGCUUGCUAUGUUAAUGUGGCAAUCACAGAAAGAGCUGCAACCUUAAUCCUUUUCUCUCCUUCCCACCAGGAGCAGUGUCCAUAAAUCUCUCCGAACAAGGCAGACUCAAGCCUCUCUUGAGUUUCAGAGACAGUGCAAGCCUGUAUAGACACCUUGUAUGUCACAUCUGUCUGGAAGAGCAGAACAUCUGGGUAAGGAAAUACAUGUUUUAAAGUGAAAUUUGUUUGAAGAGACUGCUCAAAGGACUGAGAAAACUAGGCAACUUAAUGGAGGUGGCCUUCUAGCAAAAGGUUUGCUUGGAGAGGGCCAGACCUUAGCUCUGACCAACAGGCUGCUGGCUGCUUGCCUCCAUCGUAGCAUCUGCACACAUUUCCAACACAUCCAGAAAAGUGCAUAGCCAUUAUAAAAUAAUGUGAGCGUUGCAGCUUCAAGGGAGUCACCUGGCUGCGUGUACUUUUCAAAGCAACCUUCUUACUGCUGCAAAUGAACUGCCUCGAUCAGAUCAAUGCACAGCCUAAAACUUGUCACCUAAGUCAAACCAAUAGUUCAAAUCCUGGAUUAGGCACUGGCUCCCCAAACUACACCAAAACCCUACCACACUGAUCUUUGUAUACCACUAUAUAUAUCAAGAUAAGGAGAGGAAGAAAGUUGAGAUAAAAAGGAAGUGCUGCAGCUCAAGAAGCUAAGAUGUAGCUCUUGUUACUAAAGCUGCAGUUUACCACUGAUGGAUCCAUUCUCUCUCGUUUUAAGACUAGACGAACAUGCCCAGAGCAAGCACACUGAGGUAGCUACAUGAAUGCAAAUCCCUGCCGGACAAACCAGGGCUUGCAAUGAUUUGAUAUAUAUACAGAUAUGACCUACGCCCUCACCCUUGUUAUCUUCAAUGGAGCUGCAAAGAUGCAGAUAAGGACAGAAUGUGGCCAAAGACAGGAGCAGGGCAGUUAAUCACAGCUGAUACAGAGAACACGAACACAUGUAUGGCGAUCAUCAAAAGGGUCAACUAAAGACUGUUUCAGCCUGAACGGCAAUAUUCCCAUUGACUGCAGGACAUCCAAAGUCAGGUGCACGCUGAAGCGAUGCUGUCCUUCACAUGGCGAUAAAAAAUGUUGUAAGUUUGGUGUAACACUGGUACAGCGUCCGGACCACAUACUGAGCGCUGGAUGAUGGAUGAGUGGGUAGGUAGAAAAGUAGAGCUCCUUCAUUGUCUGAUCUGGGUUGGGACUUGCAACUUUUAGAGUUAAAAGGUUCUGAAAAGUCAUCGUAACCAAUUCUUUGAGGUUCUAACUGUUAGAAACUAACAGUUCUGGCAGGAGAUAUGCCUAUUUACUUUAAGCAUCUGCCCAUCAAAAAUAAAAGAACAGAAAAAUCCCCCA